Long non-coding RNA from Xiphias gladius (swordfish), 873 nucleotides. RefSeq lists it as uncharacterized. NCBI's taxonomy places the organism in Eukaryota, Metazoa, Chordata, Actinopteri, Istiophoriformes, Xiphiidae. The record is from RefSeq and is a predicted model, not a curated record. The transcript has 5 exons.
UAUCUAAUUCUUUUUAUCAACGGGAUAUAGGCUAAUGUUGGUAAGUAUCAGCAGUAUCAGUACACACUAAGAAUGUGUUUUUCCUUUUUUCAACAACUUUCAUCUGUGCCUGUCAAUCAAGGAGCAAAGGAGCAUGGUGCAGGGAGUGUAUAAAUCCGUCUCUGGUAGUUGCAGAUCAGAAAUCACCAUCAACACAAUUGUACGAACCUUCACUUCAAUGGUGAGGCACAACUGAAGGGUCCAAUCAGCUUCAUUUUGGAUGCAAUUUUAAACCUCAACCUACAGGACUUAAGGAGCAUCUGAAAAAAUCACAAUGUCUUAUGACCGGAUUCUGUCCAUCGAAAAUCUGAGUGAUGUUCCAAAUCCAUGGAAGGGAUUCACCAUGAACCGCUGCUUAGUGCUGGCACUGGUCGCACUGCUUGUGAGCUCGGGGGUGAAUGAACUGCAUGGUGCUCUGGACUCUUUUGUUAACGAGACAGGAAUAAGGUCUUUCUUUGGAAGUCUGCAGGAUGGUUCAAUAACUCAGAUCUCCAUAUGGGAUAGUUUGGUGUGGUGGUGGGGAUCUGAAGAGGUUGGAGCGAUAAGAAGAAGAAAAAAGCCCAUUGGCAACAAAGCAAUUCUAAAACCCAAAACUAAAGAAUAAAACACAUGCAGCUGCUGACAGAGGAGUGAAAGGUCAAGAGGCAGAGGUCAUCAGGUGUCACAAUAGCAUGCUUCUGAAUAAAGAACACAAACAGUCUUCAGUAUACUUUAAGGAUAGAGAAUGUUACAUUUAAUGCAUUUGUUUUUGUACUGAAGAGAACUCCAUGUCUGGCAAGACAUGCCUUAUUCUUGAAUAUUUAUCACAUUAAAUACAUAUUUUAAUUCACUCAG